CUCUGGGGCAGCUGUGGGGUGCUUGUGCUGCUAGCACAUGAAAUACAUUGGGAGAACAGGUCCCUUUGGCACCAUUUCCUUGCUGGUUGAAGUGGACUGAACUACAAACAUGCUUUCUCAAACCUUGGAAAAGGUAUCCACCUGUCUGCAGAUUUGGCCUGCGUUACUCCUGCAUCUGAGCCUCCUGCAAGCUGUUUUUGUGUGAGACCCGAUCCCCAAACAUCUUGCGCACACAUCUUGCAGCCUGGCUCUGCAGGCGAGCUCAAUGGGGAGCGCGUUGCCUUGCUGGUGAGGCCUGUUGUGGUUUCGGCACGGACGGAGCACAUAGCUGCCGAGUGCUGUCAGGGUCUCAGCAGCCCCACAUUUGCCUUACAGCAGACAUUUAGGUACCCAGAGAACUUGUGGUUCAAUUGAAAAAUAGCUCAUCUGCCCAAGGCCUCUCAACAUGAGUGAGGCUGCAGCUAAACUGAAGUUUGGGGGGGGCUGGAUGUUGGGUUUUGCCGCUUCAGCUGGCAGUGAAGGCCCACCUGCAGCUCAGGGGGAAAUUACAGCUUCAGCUCUCAAACUGAGCACCAAAUCAACUAUUGAAAGCACCUGUGUGAUGGCACUUCUAUUCGGGCUCUGUGCGUGUCUGCAUUUCUCCUUUUGUGGAUUUGUCCCAGAGAGAUUCUUGAGACUGACCGUGGGACUGCUGUAGGAAGAUGGUCUUUGGGACAGCAGGUUCUGAGACACAAACCCACAUUCCCAACAAACUGUUCUUAAUCAUUAAGUGAGCAUCACCUUACAGAUUGUGGAUAAUAGAUUUAUUUAAGUAGGGAAAUCACGGUGCGACUCACGUGUCCAAACAAACUACCACUCCUCUUUUUUGAUGUGCGAUCCUCACGACCUGCAAGCAGCCUGCAGUGGAUGUGUGCUCUCAGAAACCCUGAAGCAAAAAGCUCUGGCCUUCAGAAUGCUGUUUGCACAGUGCUUUUCAUGGGGGAAGCCUAACGCAGGAUGCGCUGCAGGCAGCAGAAAGGUUCCCACUGUCUGAAAUUAAUCCCAAAUCAUUUGCCUGGAUCUUGGUUUGAAUCACACAAUCCAAUUACAACUUAAUCCCAUCAAUAUGAAAUAAAUGUUCCCACCUUUGGUAAUUUUCUCCGUGCGGAAAGCUGCUCUGCAGCACACAGCCUCACGCCUGUCAGUGUGUAUGUUGUGUUCCUGCUGCACAACGGGAAGGGGGGCAGAGGAGGAUGGCUGGUGAAACACACAGCUUGAAAAUCCUUCUUUUGGCCCAACGUGGGAACGCUCUACAGAGAUACUGUCAUGGAUCCAAGCAGGCUGGGGUUAAACGGUUUCCUCAGCUUUUCUCCCUAAAUCAAUUUGAAUAUUCUUGGCAAGCUCUGUUACUAUGCAUGGUGGGCAGCUGUGAUUCAAGCUGGGAUUUUUUUUUCCCCUUUCUACUGUCCCAGUCUUCCUGUCUUGUGCAGAUGUGAUCCUUUCUCUCUGUCUGCCCAACAGCUAAUUAUUUUACCAGACCAGCCAAUAGUCUGAAGAAAACAGACCACGCAUAUUCUUGAAAGCAACAACUGUGUUACAAUGUUGGGGGGAUGGGGAAGAAAAAAAAAAAAAGUCACUUCCUUCUGACCCACUCCUUAAGCAAACCUCCAUAAAUAGCAUGCACGCUGACUAAUAAGGGACCCAUCCAUCUCCUAAGUUAGUUACCCACCUUUCACAACAGAAAUGUACCCUGUGUAUUUGGGGAAAGUUGGAGAAAGCCAGAUUGAGUGUACAAGUCAUCUUGCCAAGAUCACCAGCGACCCAGAAAUGUACGUGCCCAUGUUGGUGUGAGAAUGUGGAUGGCACGUCAACUGCUCCCCAGAAACUGCCAGGGGUCACUGUGCUCACUGAAAUUUCAUUCCCAGUCUCUUACAGGCAAUUAUGCCCUUCUUUAAAAUAUUGGAAUAAAUAAUUACUACAAUUAAAAUAAUUAGCCACUGAGUUUGGACAGUACUUCUGCAAAGCUGACUGCUCUGUAAUAGUCUGUCCCAUCCCAGGUGUGAGCUGUUGAGCUAUCAGGUGCACCACAAUCACAGCGUUGUGUUUUGUG
Molecule: long non-coding RNA, 2089 nt
Organism: Lagopus muta (rock ptarmigan)
Lineage: Eukaryota; Metazoa; Chordata; Aves; Galliformes; Phasianidae
Exons: 3
Source: RefSeq, a predicted model, not a curated record